RNA transcript from Hibiscus syriacus, 2161 nucleotides. It is a transcript of the gene named glucose-6-phosphate isomerase 1, chloroplastic-like, with no coding region annotated. Lineage: Eukaryota; Viridiplantae; Streptophyta; Magnoliopsida; Malvales; Malvaceae. The transcript is spliced from 13 exons. The record is from RefSeq and is a predicted model, not a curated record.
UUUCCGUUCAUCAAAUUCUUCACAAAAAUAUCAAACCCUUCCUCGAAUUCUAAGCCAAUGGCCUAAAUAGAACAAAAUCUCUCUCUUUUUUGUUGUUGUUGCACAUCGUUAUCGUCGUGGUCUCGUUUUCGCUCGUCUUUGUGUUCUUCAAUGGCCUCUCUCUCAGGCAUUUGUCCUUCUUCCCCUUCUUUGAAGCCUGAGCAUGACCGAGUCGGUAAACUCAGUCCUUCGUUUCGCAAAGACGCACUCGCAUUCUCAGCUCGCUCCAACUCCAACUCCAAGCUCUCCGUGGCUCGUGAAGUGUACGCCGAUUUGUCGAAAACCAACAACGUAGGCGUCCUGAAGAAGGCCAAGCAAGGUGGACUCGAGAAAGAUCCUAAAGCGCUUUGGAGGAGGUACGUUGACUGGUUGUACCAGCACAAGGAGCUUGGGUUGUACCUCGAUGUCAGUAGGAUCGGGUUCUCGGAUGAGUUCGUCGCGGAAAUGGAGCCCCGGUUCCAAGCCGCGUUUAAAGCUAUGGAGGAGUUGGAAAAAGGUUCCAUCGCCAAUCCCGAUGAAGGACGGAUGGUGGGCCACUAUUGGUUGAGGAACUCUAAGCUCGCGCCAAAUUCGUUUUUGCAAGCACAGAUUGAUAAAACUCUCGACGCCGUUUGUAAGUUCGCUGAUGACGUCAUCAGCGGUAAGAUUAAGCCUCCGUCUUCUCCAGAGGGUCGUUUUACUCAAAUACUCUCUGUUGGGAUUGGAGGUUCGGCUCUGGGUCCACAAUUCGUCGCCGAGGCAUUGGCUCCUGAUAAUCCUCCUCUAAAGAUAAGAUUUAUUGAUAAUACAGAUCCCGCUGGAAUAGAUCAUCAGAUUGCACAGCUUGGUCCUGAGCUGGCUUCUACCCUUGUAAUCGUGAUUUCAAAGAGUGGAGGUACCCCAGAAACUAGGAAUGGUCUGUUGGAAGUUCAAAAAGCCUUCCGUGAAGCUGGUCUGGAUUUUUCAAAGCAGGGCGUAGCUAUAACACAAGAAAAUUCUUUGUUGGACAACACAGCGAGGAUUGAGGGUUGGGUUGCCAGAUUCCCUAUGUAUGAUUGGGUUGGUGGCAGGACAUCUGAAAUGUCUGCUGUAGGUCUACUUCCAGCAGCACUUCAGGGAAUUGAAAUAAGAGAGAUGCUAGUUGGUGCAUCUAUGAUGGACAACGCCACUAGGAGCACAGUGCUCAGGGAUAAUCCUGCAGCAUUGCUUGCUCUAUGUUGGUAUUGGGCAUGUGAUGGGGUUGGAUCUAAGGAUAUGGUUGUCCUUCCUUACAAGGACAGCUUAUUACUUUUUAGUAGGUACUUACAGCAGCUGGUUAUGGAAUCACUCGGCAAGGAGUUUGACCUGGAUGGUAAUCGGGUAAAUCAAGGAAUAUCUGUUUAUGGGAAUAAAGGAAGCACAGAUCAGCAUGCCUAUAUUCAACAGCUGAGGGAGGGUGUGCAUAAUUUCUUUGUGACAUUCAUUGAAGUAUUACGUGAUAGACCCCCUGGUCAUGAUUGGGAACUUGAACCAGGUGUUACAUGUGGUGACUACCUGUUUGGAAUGCUACAGGGAACAAGAUCAGCUCUGUAUGGAAAUGACCGGGAGUCCAUCACUGUCACUGUCCAAGAGGUGACACCCAGAUCUGUUGGGGCUCUUGUAGCACUUUAUGAGCGAGCAGUUGGACUUUAUGCCUCACUUGUCAACAUUAAUGCUUACCAUCAACCAGGUGUGGAAGCUGGGAAAAAAGCAGCAGGCGAAGUAUUAGCUCUACAGAAGCGGGUUUUAGCAGUACUCAAUGAGGCCAGGUUAGAUGGCAGAUGAUUAUGAUCUGUUUAUGGUGCAAUUUAUCUGGAAGUCUCCCAUGCCAUUAUAUGUCAGAUGCUUGUCCUUUAGGGAAGCAACAUACCUUCUAUGGAUGGAUUGUAUUGCCCUUGCAAGUCAGAGUUGAAGAAAGUUACAUAACUGGAAAGUCUUUUAGAUUUCAGCUACUGAUAUUCUCUCUCAUUUUCUGGUCUUCUAGCCUAUCUUUCUCUCUCUUCCUCUUCUUUGGUUCAAAUGCUUGAUGACUCCGAUGGAGUUCCUUUUUCAUGCAGUGUUUUUUUUUUACCAUCUUUCAUUGGACUUGGGGUGGAUGAAUGUGCAUGUGCUGUUUUUCUGCUGA